Molecule: long non-coding RNA, 263 nt
Organism: Mauremys mutica (yellowpond turtle)
Lineage: Eukaryota; Metazoa; Chordata; Testudines; Geoemydidae
Exons: 3
Source: RefSeq, a predicted model, not a curated record
CUGAGGGGAGGAGCUCUGAGAGCUGCCACCCCUGGAGAAAAAGACUUUCUUUCGAUUCCAAGCUCCCUUCUUCCUCCUCAGACCUGCAUCUUUGCUCAAGACUGGACAAUCUUCUCGCAAGAUCCCAUUAAAAGUUUCCAUUUCAACAAGAAGAAAAUUAAAAAUUGUCAUUUUGGGUCAACCCGAAACCAUUUUUUUCCAGAUUUUUCAGUUUAGCCGCCGAACUAAAAUAUCCAGCUCUACUCUGUACCUUCAAAUAUGCC